RNAcentral lists this ribosomal RNA (253 nucleotides) under uncultured bacterium. Its description in RNAcentral is "partial 16S ribosomal RNA". It matches the Rfam family "Bacterial small subunit ribosomal RNA", at positions 524 to 776 of the family's 1533-position model. The record is from RNAcentral.
GACGUAGGGCGCGAGCGUUGUCCGGAUUUAUUGGGCGUAAAGAGCUCGUAGGCGGCUUGUCGCGUCGACCGUGAAAACUUGGGGCUCAACCCCAAGCCUGCGGUCGAUACGGGCAGGCUAGAGUUCGGUAGGGGAGACUGGAAUUCCUGGUGUAGCGGUGAAAUGCGCAGAUAUCAGGAGGAACACCGGUGGCGAAGGCGCCACUCUGGGCCGAAACUGACGCUGAGGAGCGAAAGCGUGGGUAGCAAACAGG